AAUGAACGCUGGCGGCAGGCCUAACACAUGCAAGUCGAACGGAUCCUUCGGGAUUAGUGGCGGACGGGUGAGUAACGCGUGGGAACAUACCCUUUGGUACGGAAUAGCCUCGGGAAACUGGGAGUAAUACCGUAUGUGGUCGAGAGACGAAAGAUUUAUCGCCAAAGGAUUGGCCCGCGUUGGAUUAGGUAGUUGGUGGGGUAAUGGCCUACCAAGCCGACGAUCCAUAGCUGGUUUGAGAGGAUGAUCAGCCACACUGGGACUGAGACACGGCCCAGACUCCUACGGGAGGCAGCAGUGGGGAAUCUUAGACAAUGGGGGAAACCCUGAUCUAGCCAUGCCGCGUGAUCGAUGAAGGCCUUAGGGUUGUAAAGAUCUUUCAGGUGGGAAGAUAGUGACCGUACCACCGGAAGAAGCCCCGGCUAACUCCGUGCCAGCAGCCGCGGUAA
Molecule: ribosomal RNA, 449 nt
Filed under: uncultured bacterium
Lineage: Bacteria
Description: partial 16S ribosomal RNA
Rfam family: Bacterial small subunit ribosomal RNA
Source: RNAcentral